AGGUAGCACAAUCACUUGUUCUUUAAAUAAGGACUAGUAUGAACGGCACCACGAAGACCAUGCUGUCUCCUUUUUCUAAUCAGUGAAACUGAUCUCCCCGUGAAGAAGCGGGGAUUAUUCUAUAAGACGAGAAGACCCUAUGAAGCUUAAAAUUUAUAUCAACUGCCCMCCAUAYACCACCUCAACCUGACAGACCUGAUUACCAAUUUUUGGUUGGGGUGACCGCGGAGCAAAAUUAAACCUCCACAAUGAAAGGACUAACCUCCUAAUUCAAGAAUUACACUUCUAAAAAUCAACAUAUUGACAUAAAUUGAUCCAAAUCUUUGAUCAAUGAACCAAGUUACUCUAGGGAUAACAGCGCAAUCCAUUUCAAGAGCCCCUAUCGACAAAUGGGUUUACGACCUCGAUGUUGGAUCAGGGUGUCCUAGUGGUGCAACCGCUACUAAAGGUUCGUUUGUUCAACGAUUAAAACCCUACGUGAUCUG
Molecule: ribosomal RNA, 485 nt
Filed under: Arthroleptis xenodactyloides (Chirinda screeching frog)
Lineage: Eukaryota; Metazoa; Chordata; Amphibia; Anura; Arthroleptidae
Description: partial large subunit ribosomal RNA
Rfam family: Bacterial large subunit ribosomal RNA
Source: RNAcentral